RNAcentral lists this long non-coding RNA (2534 nucleotides) under Nicotiana tabacum (common tobacco). RNAcentral describes it as "long non-coding RNA (NTAB_LNC019391)". Lineage: Eukaryota; Viridiplantae; Streptophyta; Magnoliopsida; Solanales; Solanaceae. The record is from RNAcentral.
CUAACCCAAAUUUUGGAAUUCCAAACUUAGGCCGAACAUGCCUAAACAACUCGGAAUGACCUCAAAAUUUACCCACAAGUCAUAAAUUACCAUACAAACCUAUUCCAAGGCUCAUAAUAACAAGUGAACAUCGAUAAGCACAAAGUCGACUAUGGGUCAAACAUAUGAACUUCUAAACCUUCAAACUUCCAACUUUUGCCAAUUAGAGCCAAAACAACCUAGGAACCUCCGAAUCCAAGUACGGACAUACGCCUAAGUCUAAAAUCACCAUUCAAACCUAAUAGAACUAUAAAAUAAGAGAUCCGAGGUCAAAUAAAUAAAAGUAACAGUUGGUCAAUACUUCCAACUUAAGCUUGUAAAUUAGGAACUAAGUAUUCCAAAUCACUUCGAAAUCUUUCCCGAACCAAACCAAUCAUGCACGCAAGUCGUAAUACAUCAUGUGAAGCUAUUCAAGACCUCAAACCAUCAAACGAAAUGACAAUACUCGAAAUGACCGGUCGGGUCUUUACAAUUUUCAAGGAUUUGCUCUAGCAUAUGAACCAUUCAUUGUUUUUGAGCAUCAGAAAACUUUCUUCUUGAGAUUUUACCAACCCCGAAGGUUGGUUCAUAUUCACUUCUUCAUCAAAGUUUUUAUUAUUUCGAUACUCAAUUUCUUCUCUUCUUGAAGGGGGCAAGUCCAUACUUUCUUGAAGUUGAAAAGGUUCUAGCAUUUGUUUCAUUUCUUUCACUUUAUUGCACCUAUCAAAUGCACCAAUAAAUGCAAAAAGAUCAUUAUAGGGGCCCAGAAAAGGAAAAAACACAUAAUAAUUGCAACCAUUUAAAUGACUAUUUUCACCACCACAAAUAUCACAUAUAAUCCACUCAAAGGAUUGAGAAGGUACAUAUAUCUAGCUCCCGAAAAUAUUUUAAUAAUCUUGUCACUGGUGGGGUCCUUCCCAAUAUUCACAAGGAUAACUAAAUUGAAAUUAUCCUCCAUCCCACCAUUCUUCAUUCCAAGAUUCCAUGAACUAGGAAAUAUCAACAAAGAACAACAAGAAACUACAUGAUGAUCAAUUAACAACACUUUUUUCUUUUUUUUUCCAUAAACACAAAAAAAAUCACAAGUUUUGACUAAAGAAAACAAAUCCAAUAUGCGAAUUGUUCCCGUCAACGGCGCCAAAAUUGAUAAUGUCCAAAUUCACUCCUAUUAGAUAGAAAUGGUACACAGUCAUAUAUACUAUAAUUUAUCCAACUAUGAGUCAGGAUCGAAUCUAACAGGGAACAAUAUAAGGAAUAAUGAGAAAGCAAAGGAAUUAUCACCCACUAACUCUAACCAGACGAAAUCGAGUAUGAUUUUGUUUUGAACUACAAUUUAAAUAUACAAAAUAAACACUAAAGUAAUUAAUGGGGAGAACUAGCUUUGGAAAUUCGGGGCCUUGGCAAAUAGUAAUUGAACUUAAAUUCAGGAAUAAUAUAAUGUAAUGCUAACCCACCAUUCAAUAAUUUCAAAAUUAAUUUUUCUUAGCCUUGGGUAAUAAUAAUUUAUUAGUACCUAUCGAACAUUAAAAAGACUUCCUAGUUGGCUAUAUCUAGCCCAACCAAGAGUACUAAGCACACUCAAAUUUAGUUAUAGCUUAGACUCUUCCUAUCUUUAGGUGAAUCUAUUAAAUGAGGUUUAAAGUCCCAAAUUGUGUUAAUUAAUCUUAUCAACCUUAAUUCACUUUCUCAGGUCAAAAUCAAAGUAAAUGGGCAAUUCCUAGGGAUGGUUAAUCCUUAUGGAAACAUAGAAGAACAAGACUAAUUAAAGCAACAAUAAGAUAUUGUCAUAACUAAUAGUAAUAAAAUACUACUUAAGCAGCAAAAGUCAAGAACAAAUUACUACUCAACAAAUCUUUCAACUUUCAUGUUCAAAGUCAUCACCUACACCAAAUAUUACAAUACAAAACAAGAAAAUAAAGAGAUGGAGUUUUAACAAAUUCUCAUUAAUGGCUCACCAAAUCUUUACUUCCAAGGUGAUAGGUGAUGAAACCCUAGCUUCAGAAGCUUAUAUUUCCACUCUGAAUCUCUCAAAAUCUCAUAGAAAAUGAAGUCUCUUCACAAAAAUCCUAAAGAUUUUAUUUAUAGAGUCCAAUAAAUGUGUUCCAAAAGUUAACAAAAAUGCCCCUGAUGUUAGUUCUGCUAAGAAAUAAUGGAUCGCAGAAUUGAUCUCCAGUCCACAAAACUCUUCGUUUGAUUUCAUAAUGGGACUUGAGAUCUGGAUCUGAAACUUCUAGUCAGACAUACGGCUCGCUUAAUGGACAUCAGAAGAGUUCUGCAUACCACAUAAUUUCCUAUGUACAGAUUGGAUUUUCAAUGUUCUCGACCUUUUAUCGCAAAUUAUAUUUGCGACUCGCAAAGGAGUUCUGUGGUUCACAUAUUUGAACGUAGAUUUUCCUUUUCUACAACUCGCAGAAUUGAUCGCAUAAUACUCUUAUAGAACUGGUAUGUUUUUUCCUUUUCUGCAGUUGCUUUCUUCACAUAUGCAUGCUCUUUUUGCGCCUCGCAAACUUUCCCAU